Pteronotus mesoamericanus is the source of this 104-nucleotide small nuclear RNA. NCBI's taxonomy places the organism in Eukaryota, Metazoa, Chordata, Mammalia, Chiroptera, Mormoopidae. The record is from RefSeq and is a predicted model, not a curated record.
GUGCACUUCGGUAGCACGCCUACGAAAACUGGCAUGAUACAGGGAUAAGCAUGGCCUCUGCAUAAGGAGGACAGUGCAGAUGUAGUGAAGUGCUCCCUAUUUUA